Molecule: non-coding RNA, 426 nt
Filed under: Pongo abelii (Sumatran orangutan)
Lineage: Eukaryota; Metazoa; Chordata; Mammalia; Primates; Hominidae
Source: RNAcentral
AUUUAUUUUAAGCCACUAAAUUCUGGGGUGGUUUGUUAUACAGCAAUAGAUAAAUAGAACAGGCUUCAACAAUGAACGUUUGCUGAGUGUCUACUGUGUCCCAGGCACUGCAUAAGACUGGAGAAGGCACAGCAUUUUUGUCUCUGGAUUCAGGGCCUGCUAGGAGCCUUUAACUUCCUCCCCGUGCAGUCUGAACCAGACCUGAGCAGGAGCGUGUGGCACUCGGUGUCGUCUCUGCAGAAACGGCAACAAGAGCAAGGCUGAUGCUCUCAUAGCUAGGUGGAGGCCAGGGGGGCUGGGUGCUGAGCAGGGCAUCCCUCGAUGCACUUGGCUCCAGAGCUUCCUCUGUAGGGUAUGCAGGUGAAGGUGUGGUGGUGGAGGACGCCAGGGCUGAGCGACCCUGCCGGCGGCGACCCUCGGGUCUGC